This is a long non-coding RNA of Alosa alosa (allis shad), 294 nucleotides long. RefSeq lists it as uncharacterized. The record is from RefSeq and is a predicted model, not a curated record. Lineage: Eukaryota; Metazoa; Chordata; Actinopteri; Clupeiformes; Clupeidae. The transcript is spliced from 3 exons.
AGCGGUGUCUCGCCGUUUCGCUCAUUGGCCCCGUCUAAGUCCAUUAAUUGCAACCGAAGCUCUUUUUAUGGAUUUCUCACUUAUCCGCAUGAAGACAAUACAAGGACCAGCCACACCAGCUCUCCUGACCAGAAGGACCAUGGACACAGACGCAGACGUAGAAACAAAGGCUUGAGCUGGCACUUAGGAGACCAAUGGCCUCAACAUACCCGAGGGUGCUGUCUAUGCACAUGCACAUAUUAGAAGUGGUGGAGUAUACUACUGACCUGAGCGAAGGCUGGUGGAAGGAACAGG